AAAACAGCUGCAACUUCAAGUGUCUUAUUUGUUUAUUUAUUUAAAUUUCGGUUCCUUAGUCUCUGGGGCAGUUGUAUUUGGGAAAGGGUUGAGGCUGGUGUUUAAGCAGCCCGGUGAAAAAAAAUUGAGGAAAGCAUUAAAAAGUGACCCAGGGAAGAAAAAUCAAGAGACUCCGUUCUGAGUGUAAGAAGAUGUGGCUUUGUCUAUUGCCUGGCGUGCUGCAUUAAUUUGUUCUUGUUUUGUCUCUACAGCGUGCUGUGGCGAGUUUAAUGUGGAGCUUUAUUGUUUUCUUUUUUGUUGGUUACCUGAAAAAAUGAAUUUAGUUUUUUUGUUAUGUUUUUAAACCCAUUAUGGUUCAAACCUUCUUUUAAGGCAGUCGAGAAAAUACAUGUUCUUGUGUUACUGAGAUUUCCCGAUCCUGCGUGAAGUUUGUAGGAAAACACCAGAAGGUGUAUGUGAUACCCUGCUGGAUUAAGACCUUCCGGUGUUUUCAUGUUUUCUCUCAGUUUAGAGAGUUCAAUAGUCAGCUAUUUUUAGUUUUGGUAAAAAAAUUCUCUUUCAAAAGAAAUAAAAAUCAUAUAGGAAUUCCCUGCGACCCUGUUAGCGUGCUUUUAAUAACUUUUUUUGCCUCUCUCAAGUGCCUCUGUGUGGCAACGUUCAGUGGCCUAUUUAUAAUAUAAAGAUUUCCUAGACUGAAAACAAGACGAAGGCAGACUUUAGACUGUCCUCAGACUUUGGCAUUGUUAGAGAUGUGGCAUAUCUCUGCCGGGUAAAUGACCUGCUGGUUGUUGCAGCAGACUGUUGUAAUUUUUUCCUCAUGGCUUGUGGGAAAUGUAAACGGGCCAUAUACCCAGAGAAAUUUUCGGUGCAGCUGUGAAAUGUCCUUUACUGUGUAGGAAAUCCUAGGAAUUACCUACUCAUUUCUUUAGUGUUCUUUCCAACGUGAACUUGCACAGAUCUUUUAUUUUGCUCCUGGAAGGGGUUGCGGUGAAGCUUCUGGCCACCAACUCAAGGUGGUGCAGAAGAGUGUGGCCAGCGUGGGUGGAAAUACAGAGACAGAGAUGAGCGUUCACAGAGCUGGGUGUCUUGAGAGGCUGCCGAGGUGGGUGUUGGAAGCCUGAUUUCUGGGGAAUCCCUACCAGACAGAGCACUGUUUUGGUGUCUGAUCAGUGUUCACAGACUGAUGGGGCUGAUUUGCUUGAGACAUAUGGCAUUUAGCAGUGGCCGUAUACCCAUGUCUCCUUCUGUCUUUGAAAUGCCACCAGAGCUUUGAGGCCGUCCUGGACUUUGGGAUGGAGUGGAGGUUACCCGGAGCUGCUUGCCCUGAAUCUUGCUUUGCUAGGUGACCACUCGUUUGCUGCUGCUUUUUUGGAGAGGGCCUGUCCUGCACUGCAAGAUGUAUCCAUGAUGUCCAAUAGCAGUUCACAUUGCAUACCAAUGUGGACUACUUUUUUCUUGACGCGUGGCUGAUUAUGGAAAUCCUAUCAUGCCUGGCAGAAGGUCGGCAGAGAGGUCCUGACUGUUAUCUUGUCUUGUCUGGACUCUGGAGAUCAGAGGUUGAUUGGUGUUCACGACCAGCCGGACAACAGCAGGACUGCUCUCUAAGACCACAAGUGCUUUAACCGGCUGACAUUGUUUUUACCAGAUAUACGUGGCCUGUAUCCAGCUGUUGCGUACCUGCAGAAAUGGGAGAUGUGGAUAAGAGGAUUGUAUUGAAAGAACUACCCUGCUCCCUCCCCCAGUGCGCUCAGUGAAUUACACAGCUGUAUGCCGCUUACAAAAAAACUUUUCUGCACACUUAGUUUCUUGCACGGCCAACUAUUUGAAGCCGACAGAAUUUUUCAACCCCUUUGUUUUAAAGGACCCUGGCCUGUCUUCUGCAGCUCAACUCCCUUCACUCCUCGUUUUGGUGAACACAGGAUCCUAAGCGGAGAAUGAGGCAGCUAAAAGGAAAACCCAAAAAAGAGACCUCCAAGGAUAAAAAGGAGAGAAAACAGGCGAUGCAAGAAGCUCGACAACAAAUCACCACUGUGGUGCUUCCCACACUGGCUAUUGUAGUAGUGCUGAUUGUUGUAUUUGUUUAUGUAGCAACACGUCCAAAUACAACUGAAUGAUGCAGCUUUUCAGACUCUCUAACUUUGGGGUAUUAAUACUUUAUCAAGAGCCAAAAGAAACUCUUUGCCACUCUUUUAAUAUUUUACAAAGGAACUUGCUGUUAUCUUCAAUCUUUCUCUUCGUUAGGGUUCUACAAUUUCUCUUUAGGAAUGUAACAUAAAACGUAUUAGUGAAUGAGCCAGUACGUUUUAUGGUCCAGUUCAUGAUGUGCCUUUCAGACUUUUAAAAUGGUGUUUUUCUUAAAUCUGUUUGAAGUUCUAUAUUGUAAAAGGAAAUUCUGUUCUGCCAUAAAUUUGUAAAAAUCAGCUUUCAGCUGUUAUCACUGUUGUGGAUAAUGUUGCUCCCCUGAGCUCUUGUAUGUCUAUUUCAGAACUUCCAAAGAAGUACAUUUCUUCUUUGUACUUAAUGUCAUAUGAAAUGCUUUGAAUCAGAAAGGAUAUAUUUAUUUUUUGAAUAAAGGAGAUAAGUCUUACUUGGAAUCUUCAUCUCAUUUUGCAAAAAAUGUGACUUGUUGUGCAAGCCUACAUCAUGUAAUAAUUUUUUCAUUAAACACUAUAAUAUAGUUCACUUGAAAA
Struthio camelus australis is the source of this 2690-nucleotide non-coding RNA. The record is from RefSeq and is a predicted model, not a curated record. Lineage: Eukaryota; Metazoa; Chordata; Aves; Struthioniformes; Struthionidae.